Molecule: long non-coding RNA, 626 nt
Organism: Cornus florida
Lineage: Eukaryota; Viridiplantae; Streptophyta; Magnoliopsida; Cornales; Cornaceae
Exons: 3
Source: RefSeq, a predicted model, not a curated record
AGGGUCAUUACAGACCCAUUUAAUUCCAAUUUGCUUUCUCUCUCGGGCAGCUUAUAUAUCUCUCUCUCGCUGCUUCUGUUUUUUUUCUUUUCUUUUUUCUUUUUCAACUUCAAUCCUUGAUUUCUCUCUCAAUUCUUAGCGGAUUUAGGUGCCGUUUGAGGCAAAACGACGAGCACGACGAGCUCUACGUGCUAGUACCAGAAAUUCCAGCUUUUGGUCCUCUUUGGGAGCUCGAAUUUAAGGACCCAUUUUAAGGGUUUUGUGCAAUCUUGAGGUCAUGGCAAAGAAACGGCGGAUGACAAUCCUCCGCAAACUUGAAAGUUGUUAGAAGGAAAUGGGAAAGAAGUGGCGGAUGAAAAUCCUCCACAAGCUUGAAGAAGAUUAGGAGUUGUAUUUUGUUAUCUUUUGUAUCUUAGCCCAUUUUUUUUGUAUAGUCUCAAAACUAAAAUGUCGUGUAUUCAUUUUUGCAAGACAAGGUCAUGUAUUAUAAAUCAUAACUCUUGUUGAUAUUUUGAAGGGAAGCAAGACUAUGUAAAUGCUUAAGUUGAAUGGGAUGACGAUGAUGGGCUAACUUGGGGAGAUUGUUGAUGUUGUGGUAUUGGGGAAUGUAUUAUAUUUCUUUUGUA